UGCCCUUUCGUCUACGUGGCUAGGACACUGCCCUUUCACGGCAGAAAAGGGGGUUCAAGUCCCCCAAGGGUCA
This 73-nucleotide transfer RNA is filed under the name Chryseobacterium sp. RNAcentral describes it as "tRNA-Glu". It matches the Rfam family "tRNA". Rfam says of the family: Transfer RNA (tRNA) molecules are approximately 80 nucleotides in length. Their secondary structure includes four short double-helical elements and three loops (D, anti-codon, and T loops). The record is from RNAcentral. Lineage: Bacteria; Pseudomonadati; Bacteroidota; Flavobacteriia; Flavobacteriales; Weeksellaceae.